Molecule: ribosomal RNA, 1343 nt
Filed under: uncultured bacterium
Lineage: Bacteria
Description: 16S ribosomal RNA
Rfam family: Bacterial small subunit ribosomal RNA
Source: RNAcentral
GACGAACGCUGUCGGCGUGCUUAACACAUGCAAGUCGAACGGAAAGGCCCUGCUUUUGUGGGGUGCUCGAGUGGCGAACGGGUGAGUAACACGUGAGUAACCUGCCCUUGACUUUGGGAUAACUUCAGGAAACUGGGGCUAAUACCGGAUAGGAGCUCCUGCUGCAUGGUGGGGGUUGGAAAGUUUCGGCGGUUGGGGAUGGACUCGCGGCUUAUCAGCUUGUUGGUGGGGUAGUGGCUUACCAAGGCUUUGACGGGUAGCCGGCCUGAGAGGGUGACCGGCCACAUUGGGACUGAGAUACGGCCCAGACUCCUACGGGAGGCAGCAGUGGGGAAUAUUGCACAAUGGGCGGAAGCCUGAUGCAGCAACGCCGCGUGCGGGAUGACGGCCUUCGGGUUGUAAACCGCUUUCGCCUGUGACGAAGCGUGAGUGACGGUAAUGGGUAAAGAAGCACCGGCUAACUACGUGCCAGCAGCCGCGGUGAUACGUAGGGUGCGAGCGUUGUCCGGAUUUAUUGGGCGUAAAGGGCUCGUAGGUGGUUGAUCGCGUCGGAAGUGUAAUCUUGGGGCUUAACCCUGAGCGUGCUUUCGAUACGGGUUGACUUGAGGAAGGUAGGGGAGAAUGGAAUUCCUGGUGGAGCGGUGGAAUGCGCAGAUAUCAGGAGGAACACCAGUGGCGAAGGCGGUUCUCUGGGCCUUUCCUGACGCUGAGGAGCGAAAGCGUGGGGAGCGAACAGGCUUAGAUACCCUGGUAGUCCACGCUGUAAACGGUGGGUACUAGGUGUGGGGUCCAUUCCACGGGUUCCGUGCCGUAGCUAACGCUUUAAGUACCCCGCCUGGGGAGUACGGCCGCAAGGCUAAAACUCAAAGGAAUUGACGGGGCCCCGCACAAGCGGCGGAGCAUGCGGAUUAAUUCGAUGCAACGCGUAGAACCUUACCUGGGUUUGACGUGGAUCGGGAGUGCUCAGAGAUGGGUGUGCCUCUUUUGGGGUCGGUUCACAGGUGGUGCAUGGCUGUCGUCAGCUCGUGUCGUGAGAUGUUGGGUUAAGUCCCGCAACGAGCGCAACCCUUGUUCACUGUUGCCAGCACGUUAUGGUGGGGACUCAGUGGAGACCGCCGGGGUCAACUCGGAGGAAGGUGGGGAUGACGUCAAGUCAUCAUGCCCCUUAUGUCCAGGGCUUCACGCAUGCUACAAUGGCUGGUACAGAGAGUGGCGAGCCUGUGAGGGUGAGCGAAUCUCGGAAAGCCGGUCUCAGUUCGGAUUGGGGUCUGCAACUCGACCUCAUGAAGUCGGAGUCGCUAGUAAUCGCAGAUCAGCAACGCUGCGGUGAAUACGUUCCCGGG